AGAGUUGAUCAUGGCUCAGGAUGAACGCUGGCGGCGUGCCUAACACAUGCAAGUCGAGCGAUUCUCUUCGGAGAAGAGCGGCGGACGGGUGAGUAACGCGUGGGUAACCUGCCCUAUACACACGGAUAACGUACCGAAAGGUACGCUAAUACGAGAUAAUAUGCUUUAGUCGCAUGGCUGAAGUAUCAAAGCUCCGGCGGUAUAGGAUGGACCCGCGUCUGAUUAGCUAGUUGGUAAGGUAAUGGCUUACCAAGGCGACGAUCAGUAGCCGACCUGAGAGGGUGAUCGGCCACAUUGGAACUGAGACACGGUCCAAACUCCUACGGGAGGCAGCAGUGGGGAAUAUUGCACAAUGGGCGAAAGCCUGAUGCCAGCAACGCCGCGUGAGCGAUGAAGGCCUUCGGGUCGUAAAGCUCUGUCCUCAAGGAAGAUAAUGACGGUACUUGAGGAGGAAGCCCCGGCUAACUACGUGCCAGCCGCCGC
RNAcentral lists this ribosomal RNA (483 nucleotides) under uncultured bacterium. RNAcentral describes it as "bacterial SSU rRNA". It matches the Rfam family "Bacterial small subunit ribosomal RNA", at positions 8 to 518 of the family's 1533-position model. The record is from RNAcentral.